RNAcentral lists this ribosomal RNA (253 nucleotides) under uncultured bacterium. RNAcentral's name for it is "partial 16S ribosomal RNA". It matches the Rfam family "Bacterial small subunit ribosomal RNA", at positions 524 to 776 of the family's 1533-position model. The record is from RNAcentral.
UACGUAGGGUGCGAGCGUUGUCCGGAAUUAUUGGGCGUAAAGAGCUUGUAGGCGGUUUGUCGCGUCUGCCGUGAAAAUUCGAGGCUCAACCUCGAACUUGCGGUGGGUACGGGCAGACUAGAGUGUGGUAGGGGAGACUGGAAUUCCUGGUGUAGCGGUGAAAUGCGCAGAUAUCAGGAGGAACACCGAUGGCGAAGGCAGGUCUCUGGGCCGAUACUGACGCUGAGGAGCGAAAGCGUGGGGAGCGAACAGG